RNAcentral lists this ribosomal RNA (495 nucleotides) under uncultured bacterium. Its description in RNAcentral is "partial 16S ribosomal RNA". It matches the Rfam family "Bacterial small subunit ribosomal RNA", at positions 29 to 506 of the family's 1533-position model. The record is from RNAcentral.
AUGCACGCUGGCGGCGUGCCUAAUACAUGCAAGUCGAGCGCACAGACGAGGAGCUUGCUCCUCUGACGUUAGCGGCGGACGGGUGAGUAACACGUGGAUAACCUACCUAUAAGACUGGGAUAACUUCGGGAAACCGGAGCUAAUACCGGAUAAUAUAUUGAACCGCAUGGUUCAAUAGUGAAAGACGGUUUUGCUGUCACUUAUAGAUGGAUCCGCGCCGCAUUAGCUAGUUGGUAAGGUAACGGCUUACCAAGGCAACGAUGCGUAGCCGACCUGAGAGGGUGAUCGGCCACACUGGAACUGAGACACGGUCCAGACUCCUACGGGAGGCAGCAGUAGGGAAUCUUCCGCAAUGGGCGAAAGCCUGACGGAGCAACGCCGCGUGAGUGAUGAAGGUCUUCGGAUCGUAAAACUCUGUUAUUAGGGAAGAACAAAUGUGUAAGUAACUAUGCACGUCUUGACGGUACCUAAGCAGAAAACCACGGCUAACUACGU